GACGAACGCUGGCGGCGUGCUUAACACAUGCAAGUCGAACGGAAAGGCCCUGCUUUUGUGGGAUGCUCGAGUGGCGAACGGGUGAGUAACACGUGAGUAACCUGCCCUUGACUUUGGGAUAACUUCAGGAAACUGGGGCUAAUACCGGAUAGGAGCUCCUGCUGCAUGGUGGGGGUUGGAAAGUUUCGGCGGUUGGGGAUGGACUCGCGGCUUAUCAGCUUGUUGGUGGGGUAGUGGCUUACCAAGGCUUUGACGGGUAGCCGGCCUGAGAGGGUGACCGGCCACAUUGGGACUGAGAUACGGCCCAGACUCCUACGGGAGGCAGCAGUGGGGAACAUUGCACAAUGGGCGGAAGCCUGAUGCAGCAACGCCGCGUGCGGGAUGACGGCCUUCGGGUUGUAAACCGCUUUCGCCUGUGACGAAGCGUGAGUGACGGUAAUGGGUAAAGAAGCACCGGCUAACUACGUG
Molecule: ribosomal RNA, 468 nt
Filed under: uncultured bacterium
Lineage: Bacteria
Description: partial 16S ribosomal RNA
Rfam family: Bacterial small subunit ribosomal RNA
Source: RNAcentral